RNAcentral lists this long non-coding RNA (282 nucleotides) under Citrus maxima (pomelo). Its description in RNAcentral is "long non-coding RNA (CMAX_LNC000773)". The record is from RNAcentral. Lineage: Eukaryota; Viridiplantae; Streptophyta; Magnoliopsida; Sapindales; Rutaceae.
UAGUUAGGCUACAUCGUAGCCUUAGUAAAAUAAAUUAGUUCAUGUGAAUAUAAAAAGAAUCCAUAAAUUUAAUGGGAAACAUUCAAGUAAGAUAAUAGAGAAGAGAGAAAGAAAAACUCAAGAAGCUAUCUCUCUCCAAUCUCUGCAAUUGACUUCUCCAAAUUGUUGCUCCCGAUUUUACAGCAGCUUCUCUUGUUCUUUUCUUGCUCUCGGUUUUCUCUCCAAUUUUCAGUUGUUGUGUGGCUACCUUCUUGUCUCCUUUUGCUUCCGCUUGGCUUUCCC